RNAcentral lists this ribosomal RNA (801 nucleotides) under Triticum aestivum (bread wheat). RNAcentral describes it as "partial small subunit ribosomal RNA". The record is from RNAcentral. Lineage: Eukaryota; Viridiplantae; Streptophyta; Magnoliopsida; Poales; Poaceae.
AUGGCGGCCACCACCAUGUCUCUUUCCUCUUGGUCCUUCGCCGGCAAGGCCGUCAAGAACUUGCCCUCGUCGGCUUUCAUUGGUGAGGCACGUGUGAACAUGCGCAAGACCGCCGCGAAAGCCAAACAAGUUUCAUCUAGAAGCCCGUGGUACGGCUCUGACCGUGUGCUCUACCUCGGCCCGCUUUCCGGCGAGCCCCCCAGCUACUUGACUGGUGAGUUCCCCGGUGACUAUGGGUGGGACACCGCCGGUCUCUCGGCUGACCCUGAGACCUUCGCCAAGAACCGGGAGCUUGAGGUGAUCCACUGCCGAUGGGCCAUGCUCGGUGCGCUUGGUUGUGUCUUUCCUGAGUUGCUUGCCCGCAAUGGUGUGAAGUUUGGCGAGGCCGUCUGGUUCAAGGCUGGCUCUCAGAUCUUCAGCGAGGGUGGCCUCGACUACCUUGGCAACCCCAGCCUCGUCCACGCUCAGAGCAUCCUCGCCAUCUGGGCUUGUCAAGUUGUGCUCAUGGGUGCCGUUGAGGGGUACCGCAUUGCUGGUGGUCCGCUCGGCGAGAUAGUCGACCCACUCUACCCUGGUGGCAGCUUUGACCCGCUUGGCCUGGCCGACGACCCCGAGGCAUUUGCGGAGCUCAAGGUUAAGGAGAUCAAGAAUGGCCGCCUCGCCAUGUUCUCCAUGUUUGGCUUCUUUGUGCAGGCCAUUGUCACCGGCAAGGGCCCAUUGGAGAACCUUGCCGACCACAUUGCUGACCCUGUCAACAACAACGCGUGGGCAUUCGCCACCAACUUCGCGCCGGGGAAGUAA